RNAcentral lists this microRNA precursor (211 nucleotides) under Oryza rufipogon (brownbeard rice). Its description in RNAcentral is "MIR812 microRNA precursor family". It matches the Rfam family "MIR812 microRNA precursor family". The record is from Rfam by way of RNAcentral. Lineage: Eukaryota; Viridiplantae; Streptophyta; Magnoliopsida; Poales; Poaceae.
AAGCAGUACAAAUCGGUAUCGUUACACGUCAAAUGUGCCGUGCAAGUGCCGUUUUAUAUGAAAUUUUUUUAUAAUUCGUAUUUUCGUUGUUGUGAUAUGAUAAGACAUGAUUAAUAUUUUAUGCGUGACUUAUCUUUUAAUUUUUUUCAUAAUUUUUUUAAAUAAGACGGAUGGUCAAAUGUUGGACACGGCAACCAGGGUUUGUCUUUUU